Long non-coding RNA from Pygocentrus nattereri (red-bellied piranha), 684 nucleotides. RefSeq lists it as uncharacterized. NCBI's taxonomy places the organism in Eukaryota, Metazoa, Chordata, Actinopteri, Characiformes, Serrasalmidae. The transcript has 2 exons. The record is from RefSeq and is a predicted model, not a curated record.
UGCCCCACUCGGUUUAUCCGCCAUCUGGAUUAUUUACAUCUGCUGGUCAGAUUCCGAUUUUGAGCGAAUUUGAGUGGAGAUAAACUGGAAUAUGGACAGAGAAGAAGGUCACACGGGAUCUGUGGCAGUAUCAGGUCUGUCAGUGAUGCAGAGAAGGACGUGAGUCAACAAUGGGGAUUUACACAAUUUGAAGAGACAGCAAUGAGGAUGAUGCUGAGCUAUGGGACAUUACCAUUGUGAUGAAGGUCGACAAUUUUGGAAAUGCAUUCAUCAUGUUAUUUGGACUCCUUUAUGCCUUUGUUUUUAGCUUUCUGACAAAUUGAGUUUGUCCCGAAUAUCGUGAUGAAUUUGGAUGGACAAGCUAAACAGAAACAUUUUCGCAUGUGUUUGAAAGGAAGUUCCUUUGGAUGGUCUAAUUUGUCAUCUAACCGUAUCUAUUGAAUCAGUCAACAGUUGGUCAAAUUUGCACUCCUUGUCUACAUCAUUAGAAUGACAGUUUAAUAUUUUGUCUGCUUGAAUAAUUAACUGGUUGUUCAAGUUGUGACUUCUGGCCCAUCUUAUCUACUUUAUUUGGUGGGGCCAUAAAUUUGGCCCAUUUUUGAGUGGGUAAAAUGAAUGUGAAACUUUGUCACUGCUUGAAUGUUAUUGUUGAUGUCAAUAAAUGUAAUCUCUACAGAACUUUGA